UUUACUCGUGAAGCUGGGGCCCGGGAGCCGAGCCAAGCCGCUCCCCGUCUGCCUGGGCCCGGUGGCUGCGAGCACGGCGUAGGGCGGUGGGAGUGAGGUUGGGGCCGGGGCAGCGCGCGGCUCACUUGCUUUUUCUGGAAACUCCCUUUUCCCAAGGAAAGGAAGAGGCGGCGAGGGCCAGGCCCGGUGCGACGCGAGGCGGCGCGGAGCUGAGCGGAGCCCACAGAGCAGGCGGCUGGAGCAGCGCAGCUACGAGUGCGGACGGUGCGGCUGCUGGGAGAGCUUGUUCCAGAGAAGACCGCUCAUAUGCUCGACUUACUGGAAAGGAAGAUCUUAAGCAGCAAGAAAAUAAAUGUUGCCUUGAGCCAGAAUAUAAGUGACACAAUCGUCAACUACUUAUUAAAAGUGUGUCUUUCCCGGCUCCUGGAAGCUGUUGCUGCCGGUGAGUGUGGGAGUGUGAAUCUAGCAUCGAAACUGGACGACCUCGUAGUGCUAUUGUCUUCACAGAUGAUUUGGAAAGUUAUCAAUUCAGAUUCACAUACACUUCAGAAUCACAAUAUGGCCUUGAAGUCCUUCCAUAUUAUGAGUAAGAACACAGGGGCCCUUGGCCUGAGCUAAUCAGUGAGGAGGGAGGGGGUUAUGUGGGCCACCUUCAUUUCUGCCUAGCCUGGAGACUGCCAAGGCAAG
This 687-nucleotide long non-coding RNA is filed under the name Phascolarctos cinereus (koala). Its description in RNAcentral is "lncRNA (ENSPCIG00000033394.1)". Lineage: Eukaryota; Metazoa; Chordata; Mammalia; Diprotodontia; Phascolarctidae. The record is from RNAcentral.